This 102-nucleotide small nuclear RNA is filed under the name Marchantia polymorpha subsp. ruderalis. The record is from RNAcentral. Lineage: Eukaryota; Viridiplantae; Streptophyta; Marchantiopsida; Marchantiales; Marchantiaceae.
GUCCCUUCUGGGACAUCCGAUAAAGUUGGAACGAUAUAGAGAAGAUUAGCAUGGCCACUGCGCAAGGAUGACACGCUCAAAUCGAAAUGGUUACCGAUUUUG